UUCUUGGUCAUUUAGAGGAAGUAAAAGUCGUAACAAGGUAUCCGUAGGUGAACCUGCGGAUGGAUCAUUAUCACGUUAUCCACGUAUCAACCAUUGUGAACUAGUAACCUUACCUUUGUUGGAAUUAGUGAGAGUUUCGGCUUUUACUAAGACUAACAAUUGUAUUUUUUUAAUUUCAUUAUUAACUAUUUAAACAAUUUUUAAAUAAUUAACUAUUGAACUGAUACAUUUCUUACUCUUUCGGGAGAAGAAAUAAAAAUUACGAAACAUAAGAACAACUCUUAGCAACGGAUAUCUUGGUUCUCGUAACGAUGAAGAACGCAGCGAAAUGCGAUACGUAAUGCGAAUUGCAGAAUUCAGUGAAUCAUCAAAUCUUUGAACGCAAAUUGCGCUUUCCGGAUAGGCCGGGGAGCAUACCUCUUUGAGCAUCGUUUCUACCUCUUCUCGAUUGCUUUCUUGCGAAAGUAUAUUGGGGGAUUGAGAUGUCUUAUUCGAAAGAAUAAGUCUCUUUAAGAAGCGCGAGUUCCUAAACUCCUAGUAUAAAAAUUAACUUUCGGGUUGAUUUUGCCUGUUUCUCGGGUUAUAUAUUACUAGUGACAUGGAUAAUCAAUUAUUUAUGUUACAUAUGGUGAUGUAUAAACUGGAUUCCGGUUAAGUACAUUGGUAACUUGGAUUACUUGAAUUAGAAAAUAUAUCUAUAUUUUUGAAUUAGAUCUCAAAUGAAGUAAGAUAACCCGCUGAACUUAAGCAUAUCAAUAAGCGGAGGA
This 767-nucleotide ribosomal RNA is filed under the name uncultured fungus. RNAcentral's name for it is "eukaryotic LSU rRNA". The stretch from base 277 to 431 matches the Rfam family "5.8S ribosomal RNA". Lineage: Eukaryota; Fungi. The record is from RNAcentral.